AGAAACCAGUUAUUACAGUAGUUGGCGUAUAGUAAAGAUCUAAAUACGUUUUGUUUUUUUAAGUAGUUAAGUCAAAGAAAAUGACCGGUCUCUGCCCUCAACUUCCCUUGGGGAAAACGAUGCCAAAAUAUUGCCUCCUAGCCUUGUGACUUUUCACCAGGCACCUGCAGUACCUGCGUGGUCUACACUGACGUCAAUCCUGGUAGCUUGUCAUUUCACUUCGUGGAUUUGUCUAUACUCCCACCCACCACGUUGACUCUGGGCUCCCCGAGGACUCGGCUUUUGUGGGUCACCACUCACUGAAUCCCUAGUGUUUGCAAAGUGCCUGGCACGUACUCAAGACUGUGUUGAACACGUUUGCGAUUGAACCGUUCAUUCUCUCUCUCUAACUUACUCCAGCCACUUAUUCAAGACUCAGAGCCCACCCCAUGCCAAGUUCUCUUCCUCCACGUGCUCUUGGCUCCCUGCACUUAGCGUGCUCUUCCACCCUUCUGCCUCUGAGCCUCUAUAUGCUCUUCCCUCAGUGUGAAUGUUCUUCCCCUCACCUCCUUCCUUGCUUUCUUGACUUCCAGCCCCAGCUCAGUCCUCACAUCCUUUCUGAAGCGUUCUCUGAUUCCUCCAGGCAAAGAUCCACCUUCCUCUGGUUCCCCAACACUGUCUUUCAUAAUUUUAUCUGAGCUCUUACUGCAGUGGAUUAUAUGUAUUUUUAAACCUGACACCCCCACAAGACCUGGCGCUCCUUACUCCUCUGUGUUUCCCCUGAGCUCUGCACAUGUCUGAUCAGGAGGCGCCCAACAGAUGUUCCUUGGCUGCAGGACUCUUUGUCUCAGCCUUGGUGUCCCCAGCUGAAGCCGGGGGGUCUUGUCUCAGGAGGGAAUGACAUCGUACCUGGGGAAGCAUUUGGAGAAGGAGCAGCCUGCUGUUCCUGCAGCAGCAGUGACUAUAUUUAUCUGGUGCUGUCCUAGCACCGCACAAGGUCUUUGUGCACUUCAGCCUUUAUCAGCUCAGGUUUAAGCUCCUCUCUUAAUCACCUGCAAGGGAAUGGUGUUUACAGGGAUUCCAGCUGAGAAAAACUGGCCCACCUGAAUUGUCUGCCUUUGCAGCAACUCACAACUGACCUUUGGAAACUGUUGUGGGACUGCAUGAGACUGCUAAUAAGUCCCUUGCAGCUCCGUGGUUCUGUGACAGCCAAAAGGGAAACAGAGUUUGCAGAAGGCUUUACCAGUAGGAAACCCUGGUCAUCGAGACUCGGUGACAUUUCAUAUCAGAAAAGACCCAAAGUCUCCGAAGAGAGUCGUGUGUCUCAUCUUUUAGACGAGGUUGAAGGCCUGAGAUUCCUCUGCUUGGUAACGUGGAACCGCAGGAGCAUCUCUCCAGAUUUUAUUACAUAAUGAUUCGCAGGUUAUGUAACAGUCAUGACAAUGAUCAGGCACCUCUACUUGCUAAGAGCCAACAACACGAACAAUCUACCUACUUCUUUCUAUUUUUUAGGCGUUUUUCUCAUCACAAAAGUAGCACAUGAAUUCCAACGAUGCAGACGUGUGUAGAACGAAAAAUGAAAAAGAAAAGCAACCCUAGGACCCAGCAGUUUGAUUUCUUGGAAUCUACUAGAGAAACCAGCGUACAUGCACCAAGAAACCUGUUGCGUCGUUGUUUGUAAUGCAAAAUCAAAACCAGAACCAUGCUAAAUGUCCGUCAGUAGGGGAGUGGUGUGUCCGUGCUGGUGACUAGGGUGUGUCACUGAAAAGGAUGAUGGAAGCCUGUGUAGCUCUGCAGGACGUGCCCUGAAAUGGAAACCGUAUUGUCUAAGGGUGUGUAUAAGUGUAUAAAGUCAGCGGGGGACAGUAAUGCAAAUAUCGAUCAUGUGUUUUUUAAAUCUUGUCACAAAUACAUAUUAUGUGAUUUUUAUUAAUAUAUUUCUCUCCCAGAAGUCAGUAAGCUCCAUGAGGACAUAACUAUCUGUUUUGCUCACAAUUAUAUCACUACUGUCUGCCAUAGAUACACUUCCCACACACAAACGGGAGUCCAACAGUGUUUCUGAACAAAGUUUUUAUUAAAUGCCAGGAUUUAUGUUAGAUUUAAGGGGCGUAACUGUGAGCAAGACAGACACAGCGCCUGCCCUCAAGGAGCGCGCAGUCGCCUUAUCAGAAAGAAUAAAACAGGAGUAGGAUGAACUAAAUACCCGUAAUUCCGGGAUAGAAGGUGGUAAAUGUUAUGAGAGCGGCAUAGAGCUUAAAGAAUGGAGACGUGACCUCCGACAGGGCGAACUGGGGACAGCCCCACGGAGGAGGUGGCGUUGGAGCUGGGCUCUGAGUGAGCUGGGCACUUGAGGAUGUCCAGCUUUCCUUCCAGCUGGAGGGAAGAAAAGAAUCAAAAGCAAGGAGUGGAAAUUGAGACUCAGCUGCCUACAAGCAUGUAAGGAUAAUGCGUGGGAAGAACUUGACCCAAAGCCUGGAAGAGAGUCAGCCUGCAGGCGGUGUUGUCCAUGAUGAGGGUCAUUGCUGUGCAACGCGAAUGUGCCGGGAGCUGGCAAUUCUGUCUGCUGCUCAAAGCUCAGCAUUCAUUCUGACCUCCCACAGGUGGAGGCAGCGCUGGGGGAGGUUCGUAGCCCGAAGAGGCAUGCCUGGAAAUGAAGCUGGCACAGUGAGCUUCUUCACUAUCAGUAAGAGGCUUGCUUCCCCCUUUUUCUCUAAAUAUAAACCCAACUGUCAAUUGCUUCACAGUCUUCAUGUCUGCCGCAGGAGCCACCCACAAGUCCAAAGGUUACCGGGCUGGCUGAGGGCUGGUCCUUAGCGUGAUCCGCCCAGCCCAGCCCCGCUCCCUGGAGACACAGGUCAUGGGGUUGGAUGUGCACCACUCAGCUCCUCCUCUGGUGAUUCUGAAUUGCUCCUGAAAACAGUAACUCAGAGGUUGGGAGCUCCCGAUAUGUACUUUACUGGUCUCUUAAAGAAUUGGGUUUCAAAGCCUGUGCACUGAAACCGACCGUCUCUGCCCUUCCCUUGAAGUAGGCCAGGGAAAGCCACAAACAGGUUGUCUUUGUUCCAUGGCAACGUCCUCCCAAGGCAGGAGGGCAAAGUAAACUCUGAAGCCAAAAGGCCUGAGUUCAGAUCCCAGCUCUGCCACUUUCCAGCUGUGUGACUUUGGACAAGCUAUCUGACCCCUGCAGACCUCGGUUUCCUUAUCGGUAAGAUGAGAUUAAUAGGAGUAAGUACCCCAAGGAUGCUGAGAGAUUGAAUGAGCUCAGACAGGGCGCCAGCGGACAGUGAGCAGUGGAGACAAGCCAGCUAUGAGUAUUCUUAACUCAGAGUCACGGAGCCUGCCAGGCUGGGGUGCACAGUCGGCCUCAGACGAUGGGGAAGGUGACUGGGCUUGAUGCCGUUCUGGUCAAUCCUGGGCACCUUGCGUUUGUGCUGCUCCCAAGAAUAGACUUUUAUAACAUGCAGAAUAUAUAAAGAACUCCUACAACUCAAGAACAACAGGACAACCCAAUUUAAAAAUGGGCAGAGGACUUGAAUAGAUAUUUCUCCAGAGGAGAUAUACAAGCAGCCAAUAAGCACAUGGAAAAGUACUCAACAUCAUCAGCCAUUAGGUAAGUGCAAAUCAAAGUCACAGAUGCAGAAUCACACCUAUUAGUGGCUAUAAUUUAAAAAAAGGGAAAAUAACAAGUGUUCACAAGGAUCUUGAGAAAUCGGAAACCUGUGCCUUGCCGAUUGGAAUGUAAGGUCGUGCAGCUGCUAUGGAGAGAAGUUCGGUGCUGCCUUGAAAAGUGAAACAUAAUUACCAUAUGGCCUAGCAAUUCUAGUCCUAGGCAUCUACCCGAAAGGAUUGAGAACAGAGACUGGAACAGAAGGCCAUACACCAGCGUUCACAGCAGCAGCAUUCACAACAGCCGAAAGGUGGAAACAACCCAAGCGGCCAUCAACAGAGGAAUGGAUAAACAAGGUGUGGUAUAUCCAUACGAUGGAAUAUUAUUUGCCCAUAAAAAAGGAAUGAAGUUCUGAGACAUGCCUCCACAUGGAUGAACCUUGAAAACAUUAGGCUAAGUGAAAGAAGCCAGUAACGAAAGGGCAAAUGUUAUAUGAUUCCGUGUAUAUAAAAUGCCUGUAAUAGGAAAAUUCAAAGAGAUGGAAAGUAGAUUAGAAGUGACCAGGGCUGGAGAGAGGGGAGAAUGGGGAGUUACUGCUUAGUAGGUGCAGAGUUUCUGUUUGGGGUGAUGAAAAAUUCUGGAAACUGGUGAUGCUUGCCCACAUUGUGAACGUAAUUAAUGCCUCUGACUUAGUAACUUCAAAUGGUCAAAAUGGCAAAUUUUAGGUUAUGUAUAUAUUACCACAAAUUAAAAACUUUUAAAAAA
This is a non-coding RNA of Equus caballus (horse), 4351 nucleotides long. NCBI's taxonomy places the organism in Eukaryota, Metazoa, Chordata, Mammalia, Perissodactyla, Equidae. The record is from RefSeq and is a predicted model, not a curated record.